RNAcentral lists this long non-coding RNA (3141 nucleotides) under Homo sapiens (human). Its description in RNAcentral is "HSALNT0158080". Lineage: Eukaryota; Metazoa; Chordata; Mammalia; Primates; Hominidae. The record is from RNAcentral.
AGGAAACCAACCUUUAGGCCCACUGAUGAUAUAAAGAAACUGAAAUUCACCAGAUCAUUCCAUCUGGAGAAUGAGACCACAGCCUCCUCACUCAUCUUGAUUGCCAAACGAAUCACACGUUGCCUGCUGACCAACUACUCGUCCUUACCCCUCCCUAAUUGCUGUUUUUCUGCAGGUGGUCUGGCUCCAGAACUCCUGCUCCGAACUGUCAUCAUGCACUUCAUAUCUAGUCUAUGUUUCUUAACAUGAAAUCAUCAAAACAAACAGGUAUGACAAGCUUUUUGGACAGAACAAUGGUUUCAUGCAUUAUUUUUAGAAGCAAAACUCUAUAAGCCAUGACAAUUUCCAGGAAUAGCAUUGAUUCAUUAAAAUAACCUUUACUUAUUUGUGAGUAUAAAAUCAUGCAGUAUGGUAGUUCAAUUUGUAUUUUUCACAGAGUCAAAAAAGUUGUGAAUGUUUGUUACCUAGUCAUAUUUUCACUUGUGAGAAUUGUUUUUAUAUCUUUUGAAAAUAUGGCAUGUGGAGAUUUGAUUGUAUUUUUUGUUUUGAAACUAAGAUAAACAUUAAAAUUUACCUGUUGUAACAUGUACACAUAUAUUUCCUAGUUUGUGUUUUUGUUGUAACUUUGUUAUUCAUUUUAGUUUUAGAUGUAUACAUUAAAUUUGUAAAUGUGUUUUAGCUUUACAUUUUCAUUUUGAACUUUUAAAUUCGUUUCAUUUUUAAAUGUUCUGGUCUGCGUUUCUGUCAACCUCAAAGUUGGAGGCAUUAUUACUUCCAAUCGAGACUAUCUUUAGCUUUUUAAUGUUUUACCCCUUCAUCCACUUGGAGUUUAUUUUGGUAUAUAAAUUUGCAUCUAAGUAUUUUUGUUCCAACGAUAGCUAUGAAAAGUCUAUUUAUUUUGUCUUCCCAGGUGAAACUCUAAAAUCUAUCAUAUGGAAUUAGUCAUGGUUCCCUCCACUACCAUUCACCUGAAAAUAUUGACAUUUAUCCACCUACAUAAUCAAGUCCUAGAACCUGAAAAAAAAUCUCAUUAUCCCAUGCCACAUCUCAGUAACUAUAUGUCUUCGGAGCAUACCGCAAUUCCAGGAAGAAAAUGUGAGAAAUCUUCUCUGGAAUGAGAGCCCAGGACUUGGCUGCCAGUAACUGCUGCAGGAGAAACAGCCUUCUCUCCCCUGCGUUUGUGUUUCCAGCAUCCCGGCCUCCCUCCACACUCUGUUACUUCCCUGGUGGAAGAGGGAGAGGAUUAUCUGAGUGGGAAGUUCAGAGAGAAGAAGCUGGCAGGCAUGGUUAAUCCCUUCACUCCUUUCUCUGGGAUUCACCUCUCUGCAAGCUGUUUCUUCUUGACUCUUGGCUUUUGUGCAUUUACAAUAAGACCCCAGGCUCCAGGAAGGGAGCCCGGUGGUAGCACAGACACCUAUGGCUGGGAGGAUGGGUCUCCUAGUUCUAGGGCUCAUUGUUCAGAAGUCCCUAGUACUGCAGUCCUCAGCCAUAUCUUCCCCCAUAGCAGUAAUAAGGCUGAUAUUUUUAUCUCCCUCUACCAAACCUCUGCAUUUAUCUCUUAGGUGGUUCCAAGUCUGAGUGAGUGAGUGUCACUGGUUUUCUUUAAGUCCUCACAGGAAUCCAAGAUCAAGAAUAAAUGUGUUGAAAGAAAUUAAAAUAUUAGCAUCGUAUAUACUUAAAGAUUCAAGAUUCACUUGAUCUACUUAAUUGAAUAUUAGCAAAGAUAAAAGACACGUUCUCAUUUUUCUUCUCUUUGAAGCCUCAUAUAUUCAUGCUUGGGGGCUCAGGAGGCUAAAACAUACUGAGAAUAUACACAUCUGUCUUCCCAAAUCUCUCCUCAAUUUUCACAAAACAUGUUUAAAAACUAUUAAUCUUGUAAACAAAAAAUAUUUGGUUUACUCUUAUAUUUAGAAAACUCUAAAUGUCAAGGAAGCAAAAGUUACAGGUGUGGAAUGCACUACCCUUAAAUUUAGGGUGAACAGGUGAUGGCAGCUGCCACCUGUGGGUUGCAGGGAGUUGACUGUGUGGACUCUUGCUCAUGAUGGCCUGUGAGUAUUCACCUAACACUAUCUGAUAGCAAUAUUUUACAGAAAUUGUCAAAUGCCUCUAGUUUCUUUGCAACAGUCUUAAAGUAAUAAGUGGCCAGACAAUAGAUUAUAAAAUAUAGGGAUGCAUCCCUCUCAAGUUCAGGUCAGGUAUUGUCUACCCCCAGCCCUAGACUAUGGGGCCCUGGAAGGUAAAUUCUCCUUCUUAUUAUUAGCUUUGUUAUCAGAUUGCCUCACAGUACUUAUGUAUAGCUGGCAAUAAAUAUUGCCUAAAACAACAUAAUUGGAUAAUCUGCUAAUGGUAAACAUGAGUCUCAAUAAGAGAACAGAAAAAGUAAGACGAUCUGUUGAGCUUUCUUGUGAGCUAUAUGGUGAAUAAAGUGUUUCUAAUGGUUUCGUGUCUUUUAGAUUUCAGGAUAAAUAGGUGCAUAUGAAUCAGCUGAUUUCUGUUACUGGAGUGCAGUAGUAGUACAGAUUUCCCAAGCUUUGAAUCAACAAACGCAGAAGUCUCUCUAACAUUAGGCCCCUUCCCACUUGUUAUUUUGUUGUUCAUUGCUAUGGGUUACCACAUCUCAUUCUGGAGAAAACAAAGCAGGUUUUCCAAAGUCAGGAAAUCUUACACAUCUUUCCAGAGAAGACCUUAUAUUCGACCCCAUCUCAGUUUCCUCGCCUAACGUAGGAAGCAGGAGACUUCUCCAGUGUCACAAAGCUGAUCAGGCAUGAAAACUGAGUCUCUUAACUCACACACUAGAGUUUUUUGUUUAGCAGUUGUGACCUGGGGUAGACGCUCACUGCAUGUAUUGCCUUUAAGAUGCCUGCUUUUGCACAAUUCACAAUUGCAAAGAUAGGGAACCAACCUAAUCGGCGAUCCACUGAUGAGCGGUAACGAAAAUAUGGUACAUACACACUAUGGAUACUAUUCAGUUAUAAAAAAAGAAUGAAAUGAUGUCUUCUGCAGUAACUUGGAGGGAACUGGAGGCUAUUUUUCUAAAUGAAGUAACUUGGGAAAGGAAAACCAAACACUGCAUGGGAGCUAAGCCAUGGGCAUGCAAGGGCAUACGGGGUGGUUAAUGAACAUUGGAGACCCAGAAGCGUG